RNAcentral lists this small nuclear RNA (105 nucleotides) under Dasypus novemcinctus (nine-banded armadillo). The record is from RNAcentral. Lineage: Eukaryota; Metazoa; Chordata; Mammalia; Cingulata; Dasypodidae.
GUUCGCUUCAGGAGAACAUAUACUAAAAUUGAAACAAUCCAGAGAAGAUUAGCAUGGCCUCUGCACAAGGAUGACACACAAAUUUGUAAAGCAUUCCAUAGACUA